UAAAUUAUAGCUUAUAUAAAGUAUUUCAUUUACAUUGAAAAGAUAUUGUUAAAUCAUUUAAUUUAA
Molecule: transfer RNA, 66 nt
Filed under: Chalcidica minea
Lineage: Eukaryota; Metazoa; Arthropoda; Insecta; Lepidoptera; Cossidae
Description: tRNA-Val
Rfam family: tRNA
About the family: Transfer RNA (tRNA) molecules are approximately 80 nucleotides in length. Their secondary structure includes four short double-helical elements and three loops (D, anti-codon, and T loops). Further hydrogen bonds mediate the characteristic L-shaped molecular structure. tRNAs have two regions of fundamental functional importance: the anti-codon, which is responsible for specific mRNA codon recognition, and the 3' end, to which the tRNAs corresponding amino acid is attached (by aminoacyl-tRNA synthetases). tRNAs cope with the degeneracy of the genetic code in two manners: having more than one tRNA (with a specific anti-codon) for a particular amino acid; and 'wobble' base-pairing, i.e. permitting non-standard base-pairing at the 3rd anti-codon position.
Source: RNAcentral